CCAAGCCUAAGUACUCCUCAGUGACCGAUAGUGCACCAGUACCGUGAGGGAAAGGUGAAAAGCACCCCGACAAGGGGAGUGAAACAGUUCCUGAAACCGGAUGCCUACAAGCAGUCGGAGCCUCUUUACGGGGUGACGGCGUACCUUUUGUAUAAUGGGUCAGCGACUUAGAGUAUGCAGCAAGCUUAAGCCGAUAGGUGGAGGCGCAGCGAAAGCGAGUCUGAAUAGGGCGACCGAGUUGCAUGCUUUAGACCCGAAACCUGAUGAUCUAGCCAUGGGCAGGUUGAAGGUGCGGUAACACGCACUGGAGGACCGAACCCACGCCUGUUGAAAAAGUCGGGGAUGAGCUGUGGUUAGGGGUGAAAGGCCAAUCAAACUCGGAGAUAGCUGGUUCUCCGCGAAAUCUAUUUAGGUAGAGCGUCGCGCGAUUACCGUCGGGGGUAGAGCACUGGAUGGG
Molecule: ribosomal RNA, 457 nt
Filed under: Climacostomum virens
Lineage: Eukaryota; Ciliophora; Heterotrichea; Heterotrichida; Climacostomidae
Description: partial Bacterial large subunit ribosomal RNA
Rfam family: Bacterial large subunit ribosomal RNA
Source: RNAcentral